This 566-nucleotide long non-coding RNA is filed under the name Heterocephalus glaber (naked mole-rat). RNAcentral describes it as "lncRNA (ENSHGLG00100047924.1)". Lineage: Eukaryota; Metazoa; Chordata; Mammalia; Rodentia; Bathyergidae. The record is from RNAcentral.
GUUUUGUUUUUUGGUACCAGGGAUCAAACUUGGGACCUUGUGCUUGCGAGGCAGGUGACGGCACUGGGUUGAUACUUUGAAGUUGCUUAUUGGUUGAACUCUGCAAAGUUCUGUUGCAGGUUCCAGCUGCCUUUCCCCUGAAGAUAGUCCAGGUUCCGAUGCAAGAUGGUGAUCCCUCCAACUUACCAAUGAGAAUGACUGUCUGGAAUGGUGUCUGGGAACUUCUGAAAGCUCCCCAAGAGAGACCAACUCUCAGCCGAGGCUCAGGACCACGGCUCUGGGGAUAGUGUGUGCAUCCCACAGUAUGGAAAGCUGACAGAAGACAUGGAUUGUUGGUCUUAGAAGAUGGGGAAUGGAGCACUCAGGAGGCUGAAGCUGGAGGAUCGAUACAAGUUCGAGGCCAGCCUGGGCUACAUAGUGAAUUCAAGACCAGCCUGAACAACAUAGUGAGACCCUGUCCAAAAAAAAAGAUGGGGAAAGUAGUUGGGAAUGAAUUAUUAAGCUGUGAUACACACACAUAUAUAUAUAUCAAUUCCCCAAAAUGACUGUAAUUUUUAUGUAUUACA